CAAAAUUAGCACAUUCCAAUAUUUUUCUGUGCUUAUUCUUUUUCAAAUAAAUUUCACAUUUUACAUUUCUCUGCAUCUCACCAUAUUAAUUAAGUCAAGAUUUGUCCAUUAAAAACUACAUGAAUUACCAUAAUAUGUCCUACUCACAAAAUUCAAGUGAAUAGUGAGUCCAGAUUUUUACGUUUUAGAAUUCAAAACCAGCAAAAUGCGAAAGCCAACCAAAAAAUUCAUAACAGGACUAGAUUAAAAGUGGUCUUUCAUGUAAAUUGCAUAAUUAUAAAAGCCCAUAUUGUACUAAACAAAUCAAGCAAUUGACAUGAAACUCUAUCAACAAAGCAUAAUCAAAAAUUAAAGUUUGAGCAGAGCGAAAAGAUUUGUACAAAUUUUUCUAAAACUAAGAAAAAGGGAAAUCGGAGGAAAAACUCCAACCAAUUGAUGUGGAGGCGGACCCCGCCACCAACAAUGGGAGAGCCAAUGCUGCACUCAUACCUCAACAAAAAUCAUUGUGGGCCAAUGAGUCAUUUCAGCCUCCUGCCUCCAACUCCGCUUCCUGCGGUGGCUGUCAACACCGCACGCGGCAGCGAUCUUCAUCAGAACAUUCUCAAAUUCGGACUUUCGACAAGGAAUCUGGAUCCCACCCGGAUGAAUGAACCCGUAAACCUUCUCAGCUUCCCUUAAAAGAAAGAGAGACUACAGAUUGGGAGAGAGGGUAAGAGAGACAUAUCUAAGUUUAGGGGUUUGAGUUGGGUUUUUUUAUUUUUGUGCAUGGGCUACUUUUAAUUUGAAUACGGGCUGAUGCUGAUAUGCUGAUGGGCUAAUAAAAAAUAUGUGAAAAAACAAAGCUAAACUAAUGUACCUGGAUUGAGGCUGGCACGGGCUGUAGCACGGUCCAGCCCGUGCCUAGAUCCGCCUGUGGCUACCAUGUCAUACAUUAUACGCAUCACAUUACUGCUUCCAAGCAUGAAUGACAUAUCACUGCUACCAUGUCAUACAUUAUUUUCAUCACGGCCAAUAUGUAUGUCGUAUCAUCAUUAUUUUCAUUUUAUUGUUAACAUCAUAUUACUUGCUUCACUAUAGCAC
RNAcentral lists this long non-coding RNA (1080 nucleotides) under Olea europaea subsp. europaea. The record is from RNAcentral. Lineage: Eukaryota; Viridiplantae; Streptophyta; Magnoliopsida; Lamiales; Oleaceae.